CCUACGGGUGGCAGCAGUGAGGAAUAUUGGUCAAUGGGCGCGAGCCUGAACCAGCCAAGUAGCGUGAAGGAUGACUGCCCUACGGGUUGUAAACUUCUUUUAUAAAGGACUAAAGUGAGGCCCGUGUGCCUUUUUGUAUGUACUUUAUGAAUAAGGAUCGGCUAACUCCGUACCAGCAGCCGCGGUAAUACGGAGGAUGAGAGCGUUCUCCGUAUUUAUUGUGGUUAACGGGUGCGCAGGCGGAGGAACAAGUCAGCGGUAAAACCGCGGGGCUCAACCCCGCUCCGCCGUUGAAACUGUGUCCCUUGAGUGCGCGAAGGGUAGGCAGAAGGCGUGGUGUAGCGGUGAAAUGCAUAGAUAUCACGCAGAACGCCGAUCGCGAAGGCAGCCUACCGGCGCGCAACUGACGCUCAUGCACGAAAGCGUGGGUAUCGAACAGGAUUAGAUACCCGUGUAGUC
This 459-nucleotide ribosomal RNA is filed under the name uncultured bacterium. Its description in RNAcentral is "partial 16S ribosomal RNA". It matches the Rfam family "Bacterial small subunit ribosomal RNA", at positions 338 to 795 of the family's 1533-position model. The record is from RNAcentral.